Molecule: ribosomal RNA, 392 nt
Filed under: uncultured Gammaproteobacteria bacterium
Lineage: Bacteria; Pseudomonadati; Pseudomonadota; Gammaproteobacteria
Description: bacterial SSU rRNA
Rfam family: Bacterial small subunit ribosomal RNA
Source: RNAcentral
AAUGGAGGAAACUCUGAUGCAGCGAUGCCGCGUGAGUGAAGAAGGCCUUUGGGUUGUAAAGCUCUUUCGUCGGGGAAGAAAAUGACUGUACCCGAAUAAGAAGGUCCGGCUAACUUCGUGCCAGCAGCCGCGGUAAUACGAAGGGACCUAGCGUAGUUCGGAAUUACUGGGCUUAAAGAGUUCGUAGGUGGUUGAAAAAGUUAGUGGUGAAAUCCCAGAGCUUAACUCUGGAACUGCCAUUAAAACUUUUCAGCUAGAGUGUGAUAGAGGAAAGCAGAAUUUCUAGUGUAGAGGUGAAAUUCGUAGAUAUUAGAAAGAAUACCAAUUGCGAAGGCAGCUUUCUGGAUCAUUACUGACACUGAGGAACGAAAGCAUGGGUAGCGAAGAGGAUU